Molecule: long non-coding RNA, 534 nt
Organism: Mastomys coucha (southern multimammate mouse)
Lineage: Eukaryota; Metazoa; Chordata; Mammalia; Rodentia; Muridae
Exons: 2
Source: RefSeq, a predicted model, not a curated record
GCAAGACGCCAGCAGCUUUCGUCUGACACAACGGUUCUAUAGCGAAGGAAAAUUUAUCCCGUGGUGGGCCAGAAGUUUCCAGAACACUUUUUACUUCCCUUCGACCCCACAACAGACCCUGCCCCCUACUGAAGGCCGUGAAGGGCACAGCCUUGGCCACCACAGAGGGGAAAGAGGAGCUGAAGCACCAUAAUCAUCACCACGUCACCAUGCCAAGAAAAUCUAGUGGUACUCCAAAGUUAGACAGAAGGUCACUGUCCAUCUGAAUAUCUUGCUUUUGGGGACACUCCAGAGGAAAGAGCCAAAUCCCGACCUGCUGGACUCUGAGUUCCAGCCCCUGAGGCAGACCCAGCACACACAAGGGGAAUUAAGAAAUAAAGAUGAGUGUGACUCUUAAGUCUUAGCAAAUGGCACAUAUGUUCCCAGUGCUGGCACUGGGGUGAGAAAAAUUAGUUCCUACUGCAUUCUGGUUCCCUUAUCUCUGAUAUUGAUUUAAAAAAACAAACAAAAAACAAAAAACAACAAAAAAAAUGU